Molecule: microRNA precursor, 71 nt
Filed under: Pelobates cultripes (western spadefoot toad)
Lineage: Eukaryota; Metazoa; Chordata; Amphibia; Anura; Pelobatidae
Rfam family: mir-8/mir-141/mir-200 microRNA precursor family
About the family: The bounds of the precursors are predicted based on conservation and base pairing and are not generally known.
Source: RNAcentral
CUCUGUGUCAUUUUACACAGUGUGGGAAAGUUUUUUUUGAAUUUUCCCACGCUGUGUAAAAUGACACAGAA